AAAAGUUACUGACCAGCUCUGUUGGGACAAGAGAAUGGUCUUGUUUUGGAAGGAAGACUGUCGUUUUGUCCCAAGAGAGCUGGUAGCAUGUUUCAGAAAUCUGCAAGUUUC
Molecule: microRNA precursor, 111 nt
Organism: Chlorocebus sabaeus (green monkey)
Lineage: Eukaryota; Metazoa; Chordata; Mammalia; Primates; Cercopithecidae
Source: Ensembl